This 353-nucleotide ribosomal RNA is filed under the name uncultured bacterium. RNAcentral's name for it is "bacterial SSU rRNA". It matches the Rfam family "Bacterial small subunit ribosomal RNA", at positions 1037 to 1390 of the family's 1533-position model. The record is from RNAcentral.
GGUGCUGCGUGGCUGUCGUCAGCUCGUGUCGUGAGAUGUUGGGUUAAGUCCCGCAACGAGCGCAACCCUUAUCUUUAGUUGCCAGCAUGUUUGGGUGGGCACUCUAAAGAGACUGCCGGUGACAAGCCGGAGGAAGGUGGGGAUGACGUCAAGUCCUCAUGGCCCUUAUGUCCUGGGCUACACACGUGCUACAAUGGCGGUGACAGUGGGAAGCUAGAUGGUGACAUCAUGCCGAUCUCUAAAAACCGUCUCAGUUCGGAUUGCACUCUGCAACUCGAGUGCAUGAAGGUGGAAUCGCUAGUAAUCGCGGAUCAGCAUGCCGCGGUGAAUACGUUCCCGGGUCUUGUACACAC